RNAcentral lists this ribosomal RNA (375 nucleotides) under uncultured organism. RNAcentral's name for it is "partial 16S ribosomal RNA". It matches the Rfam family "Bacterial small subunit ribosomal RNA", at positions 527 to 896 of the family's 1533-position model. The record is from RNAcentral.
GUAGGUGGCAAGCGUUGUCCGGAAUUAUUGGGCGUAAAGCGCGCGCAGGCGGUUCUUUAAGUCUGAUGUGAAAGCCCACGGCUCAACCGUGGAGGGUCAUUGGAAACUGGAGAACUUGAGUACAGAAGAGGAAAGCGGAAUUCCACGUGUAGCGGUGAAAUGCGUAGAGAUGUGGAGGAACACCAGUGGCGAAGGCGGCUUUCUGGUCUGUAACUGACGCUGAGGCGCGAAAGCGUGGGGAGCAAACAGGAUUAGAUACCCUGGUAGUCCACGCCGUAAACGAUGAGUGCUAAGUGUUAGGGGGGUUUUCCCGCCCCCCUUAGUGCUGCAGCUAACGCAUUAAGCACUCCGCCUGGGAGUACGGCCGCAAGGCUG